AAAACCCACCCAUAACCAGGAUGGUCAUGAAUGACCUCUGGUUGCCCUCAUUGCUCAUUAUACACGAAUUAUAAUGCAUUAGCAUGCUAAGAGACACUCCCACC
Nomascus leucogenys (northern white-cheeked gibbon) is the source of this 104-nucleotide long non-coding RNA. RefSeq lists it as uncharacterized. The transcript has 4 exons. NCBI's taxonomy places the organism in Eukaryota, Metazoa, Chordata, Mammalia, Primates, Hylobatidae. The record is from RefSeq and is a predicted model, not a curated record.